RNAcentral lists this unclassified non-coding RNA (355 nucleotides) under fungal sp. RNAcentral describes it as "partial internal transcribed spacer region". The stretch from base 1 to 46 matches the Rfam family "Eukaryotic small subunit ribosomal RNA", at positions 1786 to 1831 of the family's 1831-position model. Lineage: Eukaryota; Fungi. The record is from RNAcentral.
AAGUCGUAACAAGGUUUCCGUAGGUGAACCUGCGGAAGGAUCAUUAACACGUAUCCAAACGUUAAAACCCCCCCCGUGAACUUUCAAUCCUGCUCUUGUAACCCGCGUAGUUCCGCAAUCUCUGGUAAAUCAUAGCCCGGAAAGUUGUUUUGAUUCAGAGACCUCUGGCUACGUGAGAACAAUGGAACAGUUACAAUCGAGCGGUAGUUUUAUAGGCAUUGUUUAGUGUCGGAAAGUGUCAUUGAUUGUGCAAGGAUAGCGCUUCACGAUAGACCGUACACUCGGGCAGGAGCUAUACAGUUUAAUGUAAAGCUCAAUGUAAUACAUUGGUAAAAAAACGGAUAUCUUGGUUCUC